GAUGAACGCUAGCGGCAGGCUUAACACAUGCAAGUCGAGGGGCAGCACGGGUAGCAAUACCUGGUGGCGACCGGCGCAAGGGUGCGUAACGCGUGAGCAACAUGCCCUAUACAGGGGGAUAAUCCAGGGAAACUUGGUCUAAUAUCCCAUAGUAUUUAGAGGAGGCAUCUUCUAUAAAUUAAAGCUUCGGUGGUAUAGGAUUGGCUCGCGUGACAUUAGCUAGAUGGUGAGGUAACGGCUCACCAUGGCAAUGAUGUCUAGGGGUUCUGAGAGGAAGGCCCCCCACACUGGGACUGAGACACGGCCCAGACUCCUACGGGAGGCAGCAGUGAGGAAUAUUGGACAAUGGAUGGAAAUCUGAUCCAAGCCAUGCCGCGUGCAGGAAGACAGCCCUAUGGGUUGUAAACUGGACUUUUAUAUGGGAGCAAUAAGGUCUACGUGUAGACUGAUGAGAGUACCAUAUGAAUAAGC
RNAcentral lists this ribosomal RNA (471 nucleotides) under uncultured bacterium. RNAcentral describes it as "bacterial SSU rRNA". It matches the Rfam family "Bacterial small subunit ribosomal RNA", at positions 28 to 491 of the family's 1533-position model. The record is from RNAcentral.